This is a small nucleolar RNA of Lepisosteus oculatus (spotted gar), 74 nucleotides long. The record is from Ensembl. NCBI's taxonomy places the organism in Eukaryota, Metazoa, Chordata, Actinopteri, Semionotiformes, Lepisosteidae.
GUGUGAUGAUUAUUUUUCUUUAGUCGGAUACCCCUUCACUCGCAAUCAUGAGUGAAAUCCCCUUUCUGACACGC